Molecule: long non-coding RNA, 2329 nt
Organism: Hemicordylus capensis (graceful crag lizard)
Lineage: Eukaryota; Metazoa; Chordata; Lepidosauria; Squamata; Cordylidae
Exons: 10
Source: RefSeq, a predicted model, not a curated record
UCCACCACAGCUUGCUUCAGCAGCACAUAUGCAAAAAUAGGAGUGAUGCAGAGAAGAUUAGUGUGGCCCCCUGCACAAGGAUGGCACUUUUGGACAGGUUGCUCCCUAAAGACUGAAAGAUAAUUUUCCAGUUUACAAGGAAUUGCUACCUGUUCUCUCGAGAUAAAAAGAGAUACUUCUCCAAGGUCAUCACAAUUGCACUUCUGAGUUUAAGCUCAAGUUCUAAAGAUACAUCAAACAUCUCACGUACUCUGGGCUCUUAUUUCUAUUUGCCCACAUUACCCAAAAAUUGUGUGCAUCAUUGCAAGCCAGCAAGGGAAACCAUAUGCACAGUGUUGGAUAUUGGAUGUAGAGAUCCAGUAUUUUUUGCACACACAUAACCUGACCUGGUGAAGAAUCUGCCUGUGAAACUGACCUGGUGAAGAAUCUGCCCAUGCUGUGCCCAGGUCAUAAACUAAGAAGAUCACAAGUUGGGAAUUCUGUAAAAAAUAAAAAUAAAAGGAAAGAACCCAACGUAGAAUUUCAGAACGUGCAUACCAGCAUGACUCCACUCAUAUGCACAUUGAAGUAAUAGCAACCAGAAAAAUUGUCUUCAAGGACAACAAUUUAAAAGGACAUGAAGCCAGAGGCUCAAAGGAAGUUUUCAUUAACUGUCUUAGAACCAGCAACAAAUUCCAAGGCCUACAUGACGAAGAAGAUGAAAGGAGAACUCUACGUCCGUCACCAGUUGGGCCCUUAUGAAUGACACCAGAAGCCAGUUGUCUAUGUAUGGAAAAACUGUAACACCUCAGAGUCAUAGGUGUGCCGCCACCACCACCUUGCAUUUGGUAAACACGUGUGGGGCAGAGGCCACUCCGAAAGGAAGGACAGAAUAUUGGAGAAGUCAGCAAGUGAUGCUUGUUGCACUACUGGACUGAUUCUGGACUACUGAGUUUGGUAAAGGUAAAGUGGCCAACCAGAUGCCUCUGUAAAGCCCACAAGCAAGAGAUGAAGUUACUCCCCUUCUUCUGCUGUUGCUCCCCUGCCAUCGGCAUUGAGAGACUGCCUCUAAAUCUGGAGCUUGCUUAUGUCUCCUUUUACAAUGUACCAAGGCAGCAAAAGCUGUACAACAUCUUCCAAACCUAUGUCUGCUUUCUUGGACACCCUUCAAGACACCAUUGCCAAGAAGCAAUGAACUGUUUAGCAACCUUCUGCACAGUAAUUCUGUCUUCGGGGUAUUUAAAUUGAUUUUCCUUAUUUUUGCAAGCCUCCAGCCCAGCAACCACGAAUGGGCAACGGAACAUUAGUAUCAAGGAAGAAAGGCUGGAACAUUAGAAUGUGAUGAUCAUUAGCAUGAGCAGCAUCCACCCAGUAUGCUACAGAAGUAUAGAGUCAAUGUGCCCCUAUUCCCCACAAAUGUGGGACUGCUGUUGCUUGCAUUAAGUAGAUGAAGUUGUUUCCUCAGAUACUUACAUUUUAGUGAACUUCAACAUACUAACAGGAUUUGAAGUUAGAAAAAUAUGCACUACACCUUUCACCGAUACGUACAGCAAAUCUCUGAAUGCUCAUCAGAGCCAUCCAGGCAAUCAUCGUCACCAUCACAACGCCAGCGAUCUUGGAUGCAGCGCCUGUUCUUACACUGAAAUUCUCCCAGCUUGCAUAACUUGGUUAACACUUCUCUAGAAUUAACUAAAGGGACAAAUGUAUAAAGAAAAAGAAGUAUUAGCUGCCUAUAAGAAGCCACACAUUAUACUUUCUUUUAAGGGAUCUAUAGGCAUCUGAAGAUUGUUUCUCUCUGCAUUUACAAGAUAAAAAUGCCUUGACUCUGUAUUUCAAAGUACGUUGGAAACCCAUCAAAAUGGAAGGAGAGCCCUGAAGCAAAGCAAAAUAAGGCAGAAUGAAAUGACACUACAGAGAAAGCACCCUGCCAGCAUGUUAAAGAAAGAAAGAAAGAAUAAGGAAACCCAAAUGGUGUUUGCUUUAAAGCAAUGCAUGGUGUCCCUUGUUCAUGCCUUUGUGGGGAGGGAUACCUCUGAUAUGUUUUGCUUUUGCUGCAGGGCUCUCCUUUUAUUUAGAGGAAUAUAAUGCAUAAUAAUAAGGAAGGAAGUUUUCCUCAUUGGAUAUGUCUAUAUCUGCCCUUGCUCAUUGGGCAAAGAUGCACCUGUUCAAGUGGUGACUCUCCUACUUACUAGAGGGAGAGCAACUGUCACUGUUCAUCCCAGCAGAGCAUCUCUGUUUAAUGGUCUCUCCCUGCCUUGUGUCUUUUGUCGAUUGUGAGCCCCUUUGGGACAGAAAACCACCUUCUUAUCCUUUGCUAUCUAAACCAAUUUGAGAACAUGUUUUGAUUGCC